CACAUAAUCAGCACUCAGUGCAUAUCUGUUCAAUGGUGAAAAGAUGAAUAUGUUUGAGUCUAACUUUGAGGCAGGGACAUCUCAAGUAAGAACCUAAAAGUGUAGAGGAAAAAUUAUUUUUAUUCUCCUACAAUUUCAAAAUCGGCGUUUGUUGUCAGACUUGUCAUCUUGCUACUGGUAUAUUAGUGUCUAUGUCUCAUGAAUUUCCCCACAGUGGUUUAUCAC
Molecule: long non-coding RNA, 225 nt
Filed under: Vulpes vulpes (red fox)
Lineage: Eukaryota; Metazoa; Chordata; Mammalia; Carnivora; Canidae
Description: lncRNA (ENSVVUG00000029323.1)
Source: RNAcentral